CCAGCCACAACUCAGGGCAGCGGCAGAGGUAGAGGGAGAGGGGCAGCCUCUUCUUCUGGUUCCCGAGGUGAAGGUCCAUCAGCUCCAGCCAGGAUCUUCACCAUGACUCAGCAGGAGGCAAACACAUCCAACACCGUGGUGUCAGGUAAUCUCGUCAUUGGGUGUUCUAAUGUGUAUGCAUUAAUGGACCCGGGUGCAUCUCAUUCAUUUAUUGCUCCGAGAGCCGUUGAGAGGUUGGGUCUGAUAGUCUCUGGGUUAGAGUGUCCCCUAUGGGUCAGUGGACCCAAGUGUGAC
RNAcentral lists this long non-coding RNA (294 nucleotides) under Manihot esculenta (cassava). RNAcentral's name for it is "long non-coding RNA (MESC_LNC003304)". Lineage: Eukaryota; Viridiplantae; Streptophyta; Magnoliopsida; Malpighiales; Euphorbiaceae. The record is from RNAcentral.